CACAGAUUGAAGAGAAUCUGCGCGUCAAUUUGGAAGGCUCUCCCGACGUCUUGGAUGUCAUGUUGAAUGCACUUGCAAACUGCACUCUUCCAGUCACUGUCUCGGAUGUUCCCGACUUCCGCAAGUGCCUGGCAGUCGAUUGCAUCCAGAACUUGCCAUCCGGGAACUAGGCGCCAAGGUCCCCGACUGAGCAACAGGAGGCCUCGUCGCCUCUGGACAACCUUCCGUUUUCUUUCUCCCUUUCUUUAUCGGGUGCUUUUAACUUCCUGUUUUCUUUCGUUAUUUGAGUUUGGGUAUCUUUCGUUGCGGCACUGUUGAAAAUAAAUAAUUAAAUUUAUAAAUCUU
Long non-coding RNA from Penaeus indicus, 345 nucleotides. RefSeq lists it as uncharacterized. The record is from RefSeq and is a predicted model, not a curated record. NCBI's taxonomy places the organism in Eukaryota, Metazoa, Arthropoda, Malacostraca, Decapoda, Penaeidae. The transcript is spliced from 2 exons.